RNAcentral lists this ribosomal RNA (502 nucleotides) under uncultured Glomus. RNAcentral's name for it is "SSU rRNA". It matches the Rfam family "Eukaryotic small subunit ribosomal RNA", at positions 569 to 1074 of the family's 1831-position model. Lineage: Eukaryota; Fungi; Glomeromycota; Glomeromycetes; Glomerales; Glomeraceae. The record is from RNAcentral.
AGCAGCCGCGGUAAUUCCAGCUCCAAUAGCGUAUAUUAAAGUUGUUGCAGUUAAAAAGCUCGUAGUUGAAUUUCGGGAUCAAUACGUCGGUCGUGCUUCGGUACGUACUGGCGUCAUUGGUUUCUCCCUUCUGACGAACCAUGAUGUCAUUAACUUGGUGUCAUGGGAAAUCAGGACUGUUACUUUGAAAAAAUUAGAGUGUUUAAAGCAGGCUCACGCUUGAAUACAUUAGCAUGGAAUAAUGAAAUAGGACGUUCGAUCCUAUUUUGUUGGUUUCUAGGAUCAACGUAAUGAUUAAUAGGGAUAGUUGGGGGCAUUAGUAUUCAAUUGUCAGAGGUGAAAUUCUUGGAUUUAUUGAAGACUAACUACUGCGAAAGCAUUCGCCAAGGAUGUUUUCAUUAAUCAAGAACGAAAGUUAGGGGAUCGAAGACGAUCAGAUACCGUCGUAGUCUUAACCAUAAACUAUGCCGACUAGGGAUCGGAUGAUGUUAAUUUUUAAUGA